RNAcentral lists this long non-coding RNA (14707 nucleotides) under Vigna radiata. Its description in RNAcentral is "long non-coding RNA (VRAD_LNC009451)". Lineage: Eukaryota; Viridiplantae; Streptophyta; Magnoliopsida; Fabales; Fabaceae. The record is from RNAcentral.
CCCGAGGACACGUAUCCCUGAGGAAAUAGAACAAGUAGCAAAGCUGAAGUGAUGACUGUCAAAUUUUGAAGUGCUUCAAUCCUCAAAAGUAACCAUUCCGUGGCCACAUUUGAAUGGAAAAACAGUGUUGCGUCUGUGUCCACAAGCUUUAAGUAGUUUUUAAAAAAUCUUUCUACCAUAUUGAAUGCUCUCACAGUAACAACACCAAGUGAUGUUUCAGCUGCAAAAUUCAUCACAGGAGCUUUCGUGGUUCCAUUGAUCCUCAUUAAUUCCCUUGACGAGGCUUGAUAAUAUUCCUUUAAGGAUUUGGAAAAAUUUAGCUUUCUGAGUUAAGCAGUGACGAGAAAUACAAAACUAAUUUUUUUUUUUAAAGUGGCUAAACCUGAACAUAUUUUGAUGCAACUAUUGCAGGAAUGGCAACAAUGAGAACUGGCCAUGUCACUAAAACCAUUGCACCAAUCAUUACCAAAAUUUCAAUUGGUACACAUGUUACAAAGGUGAUCGUAUAAGGUAUGUCAAAAUCCAAAGUACUUAAAUCUGAUGAAGCCUGCAAGAGAGAAAAAGUGGAUCAAAGUUUUGACUAUGACUAAAUGAUAAUGAUCAAACAGAGGGAAAUUAUUUAGAUUUUUUUUUUCCAUUGGGAAAUGAAAUCUUAAUCUUACUCUUGUUAAAAUCCUUCCUACGGGGGUUGAGUCAAAGAACAGCAUAGGAGCAUUGAAGAUAGCAGUAUUGAAACUUGUGAAGAAAUCUUUGGAAGCAUUUAACCCAAGGUAAGCGGUCAAGAGAGACCUUAUAUAUAUCAAUGCAGCACCAGAAAAUGAAAUUAAUGAGUACACCCCAACCAAGAAGGCACUAGUUAUUUUUGGAAUAUCAAUGGCUAAAGCAAGCCAAACCGUUGAUGCAGUCUGUAAAGCAACAAAAGCACAUUGUGCCAAAAUUAUAUAAAACAGCCUCAAUGAACCCCUGGAAAAGGAAAUAUAAUCCCAGAAUGUCUUCAAGCCGACAUCACCAAUCUCUUUUUCUUCUUCUUGUGUAAGUUGCAUCCCAAGUUGGCCCUCCGUAGAAAUCUCCUCCUCACUUUGAUUUUUAUAAACACCUUGAGACUCUUCUCUAUGAGUUCUGUUCUCAUUAUUCUGAUCCAACUCUGUAAUUGCAUCCCUGUGAGCGCUCACAAGUUGUUCAAAUGCAGUCCCAGUUGUUAAGAGAUUCUCAUACUUUCCUGAUUCAGUAACUUUUCCACCUUCCAUUACCUAGAAUUUGAGUCAUAAAAUCUCGUGUUACUUAUACACAAAAUUAUACACAAAUGUAAUAUAAUAGGUAUCCAAAUGAUGUACUUUACCAGGAUUGUAUCAACUUCCGAGAGAAACUCCACUUGAUGUGUCACUAGAAUGACUGUUUUUUCUCUUAGAGCCGUCAUUACACAGUCCUGUAACCAUAUAAAUGCAAGUGGUUUGAUACACUGAAGUUGCAAUAACAGUUCCACUGAAGUUAAAAAUCUAAUAGUGAUAGUUUCUUACUUUGAAAAGGAUAGCAGCAGUGUGAGCAUCAACUGCACUGAAAGGGUCAUCGAGGAGAUAAAUGUCAGCAUCAUUGUAGACAGCACGAGCNAGUUGAAUCCUUUGCUUUUGUCCUCCACUCAUGUUAAUCCCUCGCUGACCUAUUUCUGUAAGAUCACCAUGNCUAAAAUCAUUGAUAUCCUUAUCCAAGGCACAAACUCUAAUGGCANUCUCGUAUCUUGUUUUCUCCAUUGGCUUGCCGAAUAAUAUAUUCUCUCGAACCGUCCCACUUUGAAUCCAAGAAGUUUGAGAAACAUAUGCUAUGUUGCCGAACACAUUAACCUGUUUUACAUCAUUCAGAAUUUUCAUAUAGAAAAGAAAGACAAUUAAAUACAAAGAAUAUCAGCAUGAAUGACAUGAGAACAUAAAGCUAAACUUGUUUUGCUUAACUCACAGUUCCUGAGAUCUUGGGAAUCUCUCCUAAUAUUGCAUACAAAAGAGAUGAUUUUCCAGCUCCAACUGGCCCACAAACUGCAACUUUCUGUCCCCACUUGAUUUCUAAAUUCACAUCUCUUAAAGUUGGGGAAACUGAUUCAUGGUCCCAAAUGAAGUUGCCAGCUUGGAUUUCUACCGCAUUAAUUGAACUUCGGUUUUUAUAGCUUCUGCUACCAUCACUGCUAUCUAGUUCUUCGUCAAACAAAAAGGUAUUNAGACGAUCAAAAGAUACCUUAACUUGGAUCAGAANAGAUANAGCCUCNGGAAUCAUUCGAACAGGUUCUGCCAAGUUCNUCAACGUUGNAAGAACUGUAAAUAUGGUCCCNGCAUUUAAUGGAGCACUAUUGAAAACAGCACAACCGANNAAAACAACAGCAGAAACGAUGGUAGGAGACAUCCAAUAUAAAAAUGACCCAUAAGCUUUCAACAUCUGUGCCUUAGAUAGCCAAAUGAACUCUUUCGCACGUAGGUUCUCAACCAAACUCUUGAAUUUGUCUUCCCAGGACUGUAACUUGAUGAUUUUCAUGCUAUUUAGAAUUUCUGAAGUUGCUCUAAGACGCUCAUCCUGUGAAAUCAUGAACUGUGCCAUGCACCUUUGUAGGAUCUUGGCAAAUGGUACAUUGAGAAGUCCACAUAUAAGAAGAGGGAUUACACCAGGAAGUGCACCUAUUCCCACAACUCCAUACAGGAUACUGAUAGAUAGAAGAAGUUGCAAUGUACAUGCCCAUGUUAGAUGAAACCACCAUGGAAAUUCUCCCAUGCGAUACGCAUCAACAGCAAUGUAAUUCACAAUUUCACCUGUUGAGUGUCGUGUCCUUGCUGAGUUUGAAAGCUUUAGUUGUUUUUCAUACACUGCAACCAUCAGAGCUGAUCUCAUUUUCAACCCCGACCUCCUGGUACAAAAAAACCAGUGUCUCUGGGACACAGAAUCAACCACUUUGGAGAGAAUAAGAAAACCCACUAUGGUAAGACCUUCUCUGAGAUCUGUCUCCCCGGAAUCCCUACUAUUCGAAAAGUUGACAAAAGCAUAGAGUAUUAAAGGAGAAACAGUCACAGCAAUGGUUCUGAGCAAUGCGUAAACAGAUAUUAAUAUGUUCUCUUUUAAGUGAGUUCUAACAAUGGACCAAAACACUAAGUUCUUAGUGUUGUUCUUGCUUCUCUCCCUCGCAAGGGAUUGCCAUGCAUGCUUGAAGUUUUUGUGGGAUAGGUCUGCCUUAUCUUCAGAGAGAAGGGAAGGGAUGUCUUCAAGAGAUAGUGGCCUUGAGUAACCCAAACUGAGUAAGGAGUUAACCCAAGAGAAAGUUAACUUGCUCAGAAAGGAAGCACGACCUAGUCCUGUUUCUUCUGUGUCAACUUCCCGAGCUAACAAUGGUUCUGAUAAACUUUUUAGCUCAUUUUGAUUGACAAAGUAACCAAGGUUUUGGAAGGCACAGAAGAGAAGAAGCGUGUGUAAGAACCAUAGUAGGACAUCGAAAAUUUCUAUUGCAUGCUUUCUAACCAGAAUUUCAAUGUGGAGAGCCGAAGCUAGCGCAAAGGAACAUGCCCACCAGACAGAGUUUAGAAUUUUGAUCCAUUUGUGUCCCUGAACAAGCAAAGAAACUGCCAAAGAAGUCCAAACAAAUCCUCGUACAAGGCAUGCUAACCAGCUGAGGUGGUUAGCCAUGGAGUUCCCAGUUUUGGCUAUGAGACUCCACAGGGCAAUACUGUAAAACACAACGCUAGUGAUAGCACAACAGAUAGAGACUAAAAGGAAAAACCUGGUUUUGGUAUGACUUUCAUUUAUAAAAUUUCUUCUGAUUAAAUUGAGAAUGAUGGAAGCGUAGAAGACACAGAGGAAAAUUAGAUUUAUAGUGUCUAUUGUGCUCCUUUGUGAACAGAAAGAAGUGAAGUCAAAAUUCUUGAGACAAAUCCAUGAGAAAUAAUCAGCGUAUCCAUUAAAAAUCUCCUUCAUCAUCAUCAAAGAAUGAUGAACACUUUUAGACGCAGCAAUGGGAAACUUUAGAAGAAGUUAUGGAAAUCAACAGGGUUAAAGAAGUAGACAAAAGACAUCAUUUGCAUGAAAAGGUAGCUUCCACAGUCUCCUUCAUUAAAGAAGUGUUGUUGUGUGGAAUUAAUGGUGCAGAGAACAAAGAAAUGUUUGAUACAUAUUACUGAAAAGGGAAUCAUUGACAUAAAAAUUAGUGUGUCCCACCUUGUAGUACAAACACUUUCACAUUAUAUUUGAGUGGUUGGAUUAAAAAAUGUUGGAGAUUGGAUUUGAGUGGUAGAGAUUUUUACCUCUUUGGAGCGUACACUUCAAUUAUAAUAUGUGCUUGAAGUGAUAACAUCUAAAGGAUUGCAUAAUAUCACGUGUUUAAAAGGUUACAAACAGACCAUGAAAACUUUAGUACCAUGAAUUGAUUUUAAUAUUUUGAUUUGAUUUAAUAAUUCAAUAAUUAUGUAAUUUGUGAAGAAGAUCACGUUAAAGUACAGGUCAAAUGUUAAGUUGGAUGUAAGAAAUACAUAAAUAAAUAUUUUAAAUAAAUUAUAAUUAUCAAACAAAUUUUAAAGUACAGGUCAAAUUUGUUAAUUAGUUUGAUGUAAAAAAUACAUAAAUAAAUAUUUUAAAUAAAUUUUAAUUAUCAAACAAAUUUUAAAAAAAAAUAUUUUGAAAAAAAUAAUUUCUCUUUAUAUAUAUAUAUAUAUAUAUAUAUAUAUAUAUAUAUAUAUAUAUAUAUAAAAUAGGUUUAAUAUAUAUUUUGGUCCCUAUUUUCAUAACAUUAGUUGAGAGUGGUUUUCGACGUUUUCUCUGCUUUUAAAGUAGUCUUAAUUUUUAAUAUUUUUGUUUAAUUUAGUUCUUUUUAUCUCGGCAACCACAUAAGGAAAAUAAGGCCUAAAGUUCAUAUAUUGAGGUUGUGUCAUUAACUAUUCUAUAUUCUAUAGCAAUACCUUGCAAGCUACCAUUAUUCAAAAGGAAAAUGAUAUUUUAACAUCAUUUUUUGACACUAUUUUGACACUGCACACGUGUCAAAAUGUGAUUGGACGAUUUCAAAUUAAAAAAACAAACUUUGGUUUUUCUCUUCCAAAUAUACUCCUGCCUCAACUUUUUUAAUUUGAAAUCGUCCAAUCACAUUUUGACACGUGUGCAGUGUCAAAAUGGUGUUAAAAUAUCAUUUUCCUAUUCGAAAUCACAACCUAUACUUGAAAUCGCAACCUACCAUAGAAAUCACAUCAGAAAUUGCAAUCUGCGGCACAAAGCCCAAAAUCAAAAAAGAAACCAAAACCACAAAAUCGUGAGUACCCAAAAUCAUGAAUCACAUCCCGAACUUGCAAUCCCAAAUCGUAAUGCUAGUUUGCACCAUCAUAGAUCUCCCUCUCCAACUAUUAUGAGAAACCAGAAAACCUUAAUUACUUUACUGUCAUGAAAAACCAAAAAACCCUAAUUAUAUCAUUAUCACGAAAAAUCAGAAAACCCUAAUUAAUUCACUGCAUAAACAACCACGUUAGACAGAAUGGUAGCCACGUUAGAGAAUGUGUCUUUAACUAUUUAGUAAAAAAAAAUAACUAAAUUAAACAAGAAUUACAAAAUAUAGAUUACUUUCAAUGCUGAAAAAAAAGUCUAGAAUCACUUUAAACAAAAAUUAUGAAAAUAGAUAUUAAGCCUAUAGAAUACUUUAGGUUUAACUUUUAACUUUUUUUAGUGGAAUUUCGCGUACACACGUGAAUGAUUGGUUAAUAAAAUUUAGAGAUAAAUCAUUAUUCAAUCCAAUAAAAAAGUUAAGUAAAGUUUAUAAAGUUUUAUAAUUCAUAUUAAUUGAUUAUUAAUAAAAUUAAAUUACAUCAGUCAAUUGAGCCAAUUUUUGAAAUACUUUUACUAAAAUUUGUAAUUUUUAAACGCUAGAAUGAUUAAACCAAUACAAUAUAAAGUUGUAGUAGAAAUAAAAUAAAAUAAAACAUGAUAUGACAGCUUCCAAUGCAGUAUUCAUUUCAUCCAAGAUUGCUACAUCACAUCAUUGCUGUCAUCACCAAUUCUUAAAAUAUUAAAGCUCUGUCAAUUUGUCUACGGAAGGUUUUCUCAAAGAAAAUUCCACAAGAAAAAUUCCAUACACAAACAUACAGAUUUUAAUUAUUAUUGUAUCAUCAUGCAAGCAUUCCCUUGUGAAUGGAAGUUGGUGAGAUUAAAACGUUGGAAGAGUAUCUCUGAAAAAGCAAUUCUUGAAGAAUGUGCUGCACUGUCUCAUUCAUCCAUUUUUAGACAGAAUAAUUUACAAGACAAUGCUUAUGAAAAAAAAAACUUUUUUUAUCAUCUAGGUUUAAACUUCUUUUUAUUUUUAAAUUAUAAAUGGAUGUUUAGUUUAUUCUCCGUUUUUAAAAAUGUAAAUUUUUUGUUCCUAAGUUAUAAAAAAUGUAUUAAAUAAAUUCUUUUUUAACUUGAAAUACUGUUUUUGGUUAUUUCUUUAACAACUGCUACAUCUUUAGAUUGCUCUGAUUUGUUUCUUAAUAAUAACAGCACCUUAGAUUGCUCUUUGUACUUUGACCAUGAACAUAAAAAAAAAGACUCAUUUGAUACAUUUUUUAUAACUUAGGAAUCAAAUAUUUAUAUUUUUAAAAACGGGACUAAACUCAACAUUCACUCAUAACUUAGGGACCAAAAAGAGAUUUAAACCUACCGUCUAAUAGUUUAAAUAGAUUUACCAUUGAAUGUUAGUGUUUGAAUUUGUAAAUUUGAAAGAAAAUGUGAGUGUUGAUUUGCAGCAUCUUUUCCAUUUUCAAUUUUGAGAUUUAGAUGAUUUUAUUUUAGAAUAAUCAUACUUUGACUAUACCUUUUUAAUAAUAUUUUGUCAAAAAAUAUUGUUAAAAUAUUAUUAUUCUUUAUUUUAUUAUCUCUGUUUCAUUCUUUUUUUCUCCUAGUUGUCUGUAAUGCUUCCUGAGGAUCUGUAUAAGUCAAAAUGAAAGAAAAAGAAAAAAUAGGUAAAAAAAAUAAAAGAAAAGGGAAUGAGAGUAAAAACCAAUUAUCAGUUCAGUAAGAGAAUUAAAGAGUGACUUACCUUUUGAUUAUUAUUUUUUUUUUUGUUUUUAUCACUUUUACUUUUUUUAAUAAUAAUUAUAAUAAUAUUAAUAUAAUAAGAUGUUUUAAGAUGUAUUUUUCAAUUUGAAAAAAAUAUAACAAUUGAAAUUAAAAACAUAUUUUUUGCCAAAACAUAAAGUAAUAAAAAAAUAUUUUAUUUUAGUAUAAAAAACCAAAAAUAAUAUUACGUGUGAAUAAAUUAUAUAUUAAAAAGUCUUAUUUGAAAAAAAUUUCAAUAUCUUUAAAAAAUAUAUUAUAUUAAUUAUUUAUUACUUUUUUAAUUCUAUUAUUUUAAAUACUUUUUUAUAAAAAAUAUGUUAUUCAUAAAUGGAAAAUUUGAUAAUUUUCAUUUUUAUCUAUUAAAACAUUUUUUUAAUCUAUCACAUCAAUUAAAUUUGUGAUAAACUUUUAUAAAUUUUAUUUAUAAAUUCACUCUUAAUCUUCUUUAAAUUUUAAAAAAAUAAUAAUUAAUUCACUUUCAAAUUCUCUUCGAUGGAUUCAUUUAUUCUUUCUUCUCUCUUAAAUCCAUCUUUUAAAAUGAACAUAUAGUUAUUUUUUCAGUCAAACAAUGAUAAGUUAUAGUUUCUGCAUCGGAAUUAAAAAUAUAUUAUUUUUAAUUUUUAUUUAACUUAUUUCUCUUCUGAAAUAACAUGAAUGGUUAAUUGUUUAUAAAGUUUUUUUCUUUAUAUUUCAAAAGAAAUGCAGUGUGUAAUGGUGAUGAGACUUGGUUCUUGCAGGAGAAUGAAAUCAAAACAAUGAUGACAAGGUAUCAAAUCAUAAUUUAAAUCAAAACGAUGAUUUUUAAUGUUGUAUAUGAUAAAUAGUUAAUUUAAUAAAAUAUAAAUAUUGAAAUAACUCAUUAUUAUAAUAAAAUAAAUAAACUUUAACUUUAUUAGUUUUAUUUAAAUUCUAAUUUAAUUAUAUUCAUUAUUAAUAAACUUAAAAAGUAAGAUAAAUAUAUCAAUAUUUAUUAUAUUAAACCAAUUAUAUUUUAAUGCAUUAAAAUUCUUUAUUUCACUAAUCACUAGUGUAGAAAAAAGAUUUAAGGUCAUGUGUACAACAUCAUCAUUAGUGGCGCUCAGUGUUGACAGAUGUCGAAUGGCUUAGAUUUGACGUUUCGUAUGAUGUCUGACAGACUCAGAUUCGAUGUCUCAUAUAACUUCUGGUGAAGGACAUAUGACGUUCAUUGACAUUCUUUGCAGGAGCUGACAUUCCAUUGACGUCACCCAAUAUAACAUCAGAAAAGGAUCAGACGCCAAAAGUUCAAAAUAACAUACCUUGAAAGUCUUUUCUGCCAUAGUGAAUUUAACUCACAUAUUUAGAUUUGGUUGUACAUAAUUUCUCAUAUAAUUUUAAGAAAGAUUAUAGCUGGGUAAACAGAAAUUUUGUGUUAAGUAUCACUCCAUUUUAUUUCAAUAAAAAAAAAUAUAAUUUUAUAUAUUUAAAAUAAAAUAAUUUACAUUUUGAAUGUUGAAAUUUAAAAUAAUGUAUACACAUAAUAAGUUUUAGUGCUGUCAAAAUUAGUUAGAACCUACGAGUCAACUUGACUCACUAGAAAAUCUUCACUGCAAGUUGAUGUAUUUGAAUUUCAAGUAGAGUAAUUGAAUAAAUAUUCAUAUAAUAUUUUACCAUUAUAUUUGACAAUUUCUUUGGAAAUAAUUAGAAAUUCCAUCUCAAACUCUAUUGAAUUUAAAUGCUAUAAUAUUAAUAACUUUUUUUUCAACUUUUGUUGAUUUUAUAGAAGAAUUUCAAACACACAAAUAUAUUAUUAUAACUAAAUACUGAUAUUAAAAAUAAAUUUUACACAAAUUUUUUUAACUCUUAUAUUUUAUUUUAUUCUUUGUAAAUGUUAUUCUCACUUUAAAAUUUCUCAAGAUUUGAUAUGGAUCAAAGAAUUUAGGAAAACUUUUUCGGGAUUGAAUAGCCCUCUCACACUUAUGGUUGGGGUUACUUUUAAGAAAACAUAUUUUUAAUUGCAAACUCCAAAGAUUUUCUUCUCAGCAUAAAACUUUUAUCGACUCUGUCUUCCUCCUAUCUUGUAUCUUCUUCACCUUUUCAGUAGUUUGCUUUGACAUCUUUAGCCCUACCAACACUGCCUCAUCAUUCUAAUACCAACAUAAAGGGGUUUUGCACCUUUUGCCAUACGUUGUCUCAUAUGGAGCCAUUCCGAUGCUAGAUAACUGUUACUAUAGGUAAUAAAUUCUCCUAAGAGCAAAUGUCCUCAACAAAACCUCAAAGGACUUAAUCAUUCUUUUUGAUUACCCACCAGCAAAACUCAUCCUCAACUUGUUACCCUAAGAUUGUAGUAGUAUCUGCCAAAAUCUAGAAGUAAACUUAAGAUCUAUGUCUGACACAAUACUUGAAGGCACUUCAUGCAAUCUUACGAACUCCUUAAUAUAUAACUGUCAGCUUGACCAUAAACAUCCUUAGAUUAAUGGCUAGAAAAUGAUCCUUCUUCAUUAGCCAAUCUAUUAUCACACAAAUUGAAUCAUGACCACUCGCAACCUUGGCAAAUGGGUAACAAAAUCCUUAACUAUCCUAUCUAAUUUUCACUCUAAUAUCUAUAUCUACUACAACAUCUCAUCAAACCUAUGAUGUUUUUACCUUUCCUCUUGGACAAGUCAAGCAAAUUUUACUUUAAAUUUCAAAAUAAAAAAAAUGAAUCUCUUUUUAAAUUAGGGUGCAAGAAGAAGAAAUAUAUGGAGGUGCAAGAAUGAUGAAAGUGUCUCUUUUUCAAUUUUUAAUUAAUAUUAAAUUUCAACCAAAGCAAAUUAAUUAAAUAUUUUGUUUAGUUUUAAUUUAGUAAAAACAAUUCAACCAAAUUAAAUAAAUAUUUUCAGUAUAAAUUGGUUAAAUAUAUUUAGUUAAAAUUGUCAAAUAAAACAUAUAUUCUAACCUUUUUAUAUGAUUAUUAUUAUCAUAUUUAUAAUUUUAAUUUUGUUUUAUAAUCUGCAUAAUCUCAUUGCUAAAAAUCAUAACACAAAUUUACUUAUUAUUAUAUUAUAAACAUGUUGUAUAUACAAUAUAAUCAUCUUGGAAAAUGUAAUAACCUAUAAAUUAAAAUAUAAAUUUUAAUAAUAGUAAAAUAAUAAAAUUAUGUUUUAAGAAAAUUAAACCAUAACAGUAGCUCCAUUAUACACUUUCUAAAAUCAUGCCAUUUCAUUUCUUUCCAAACCAGCUCUCACUAACCUCUUGCUCUUUCAAAAUACUGCCUUCUCUCUAGCUUUCUUUCCCGUUGAGCCAUUGGAAUUCCAUUUUGAAAGUGCAUAGACGAUCUUGACGUCACAGGCUCUGAGUCGCACCGAUCAAAUUUUCAGUUUAAUCGAGUAAGUUGUUUUUCCCCUUUCUUUGCUGUUAGGAAACCUAAGACCUACANNNNNNNNNNNNNNNNNNNNNNNNNNNNNNNNNNNNNNNNNNNNNNNNNNNNNNNNNNNNNNNNNNNNNNNNNNNNNNNNNNNNNNNNNNNNNNNNNNNNGUAAUUUGAAGUGAUUGGGUGAAAUGUUGAUGUUUUGAAUUGAAAUUUGAUGAAAAGUGUGUAUGAAUAAAGGGUUAUGUGAUAGUCAAAUUUUGAUUCUGAAAUUGUUAUCUAAUAAAGUAGAUGGGAUGAGAGGUAAUGAGAAUUUAAAAUGUUAGAAGGAAGCAAAAUUCUGUUGUGAAAGAUUAUAAAGGAAAAGCUAGGCAAAUCAAGGUGGUUUAGACUAUUUUAGAGGAACUAGAGUAGUCAAAAUUUGAAUUAAGAGUUUUAGAUAGUUCUAGGCAGUUUAGAUCACUUAGGUAAGUCAUAUGUGACUUGUAGGAAUUGGCAAANUGGNCCAAAACAGAUUACAAUUGGUAAAUUCGAGUUUGAUCUCUUAAGUGAAUGAAAGUGAAGCAAAUGAUCCUAAUUUUAUGCAUAACUACUAGGGAUGAGUGUUAGGAAAGAGUGUAAACCCUUAAACCAGUUUAAAAUCAACUAUACUUUGAUUUAGGAAGGUUAGAACCUCAUCAAAAAGCCUAGAACCAAUUUUGGGUGGGUGAGUUCUACAAUCUGCAGAAAACUCUGCAGAAUCCACGCCUGGGCGUCCAAAAGGGCGUUGGGCGCCCUUUGAUUCGGCGUUUUGCCAGAAAUAUGGCGCUCGGGCGCCCUUUUCUACUGUUGCUUUUGUUUUUGAUAGUUUAGGGGGUUCCGGAUAUCCGUUUUUGACGUUCUUUAGGUCGUUCUAGGGGUUUUAGACCCUUCCGGAACUGUUGGUGAUGGUUUCAAAGUCAUUUUCCUUGUCUAAGUAUGAGUUCAUUGGAUUUUGGAUCGUUUGUGGUUCUUUUGAAGUGUAAAUAGUGUUAUAUAUAUGAUUGUAUGCGAAGCAAAGUUGAAUAGUUACAUGUACAUGGUUUUAUAUGGAUUCAAUGUGAUAAUAUCAUGGUAAUUGGUGGUUCAUGUAUUGAGAUAAGUUUCAAAGUGAAAAAUAUGGUUAUUGGACGUAAUUCCAUGAUCCUCAAGGGAGGUUACAUGGUGGUGCCCUGUAAUUUAUCGUGAUUGAUCGUAUGAAUGGCCGGAGUUCAGGAUGGGGUUUACCUUGACAUUCUAAUCACCAUCCAUGCUCAAUUAGAGAGUGAUGAGUCAUGUGGUGAGAAUAGGAGGAGGUCCUAGUCUUGGGUGUCUCCAUUUUAUAUGGGCCAAGAUGAGUUUGGUUGGACUUACACUUGUGUGUGGUCGGGUGAAACCCCUCGGCAAUGGCUUUGCAAAGCAGUAGGGCCACCACAAGUGCACAAACCCCUGGAACUCGACAUUUCAUACUAGUCCAGACGGUCAAAUCACGUGGUCUGUCCUUGGCAUCAAUAAAAUGCAUUUAGUUAUAGUUUGUGUUGUAUUAUUGUCAUUACAUGCUUGAUAUACUUGAUUUAUAACAUGCUUUUUAUACCUAGCUUACCCUUGCAUUGUGUUUGUUGUAUGUGCUUUCCCUCCCCCUUGUGAUGAUCAUCCAAUCCUUUGGAUGUGAGCAUAGUCAAAGGAUGUUUCCCUGGAGUAAGCUUUGGAGACAGAGGAUCCAGCCACUACUUCUUAGAACCCUUUUUAUUAGAUCCCUUUACUAUAUUUUGAGGAACGUUUUAGUUUAUUUGUAUUUACUUAGUUUCUGAUUACUGUCCUUAGAUCUCUAUAUAUUUUGAGAGGCUUUAUAAUCCUGUUGUAGUAUCUACUUUUCCAGGUUUUAUGUUAGACAUUUUUAUACCAUUACGAGAGACUUCCUUUGUAUGUAAAGUUUUAAGUUUACCGCUCAUUUUGGAUGAUUGUACUGAUUAUAAUUUCUAAGUAUAUCUUCAUACUUCUCUGUCAUAUUAUAAUGAUAAUAUCCUGUUAUAUUAUAUUGUACCAUAUAAUUUAUGGGAUGUCACAGAAAACAUUCCCACAGUCACUUAAUAAACUUUAAACAUAUAAUUUAUAUUUCAAUAUAAUUUAUUUGAAUGUUAGUUUUAGCUUUAACAUAGAUGAUCUCCUAUCCAUAUUAUUUAAACCUCUCUUUCUUAUCAUACCUUCUAAAUUAAAUUAUAUUUUUAUCUAAUUUAUUUAUCUGGCUAUAUUCGAACUUCAUUUUUUAAUAUGUCUUGAAAUCACAUUCCUAAUUGUUAGAAUACUGUAAAUAAAUGGUUUACUCUUUCCUCAGUGCAAGAAAAUUGAAACUAAAUCAACUUUGGCUUAGAAUGGAUUAGGAAGUCAUUGCUACAAUGCAGCAUCAAUUUAUUUUCCUGAUAUGACUGAGUUUAUUAUGCUGAUAUAAAUUCAAUAUCAAUCCAAACAAUAUGAUGAAAGCUUACACACCCUUCCAAACUGAUACAAUAAAUGUUUCCAAUAUUUUAUUUCAUUCUACCGUCGGAUCGUCUGAUCUUUUAUGUUUUCAAUCUUAUUGCAAAAACAAAGAUUUUAGGAGGAAUUCUUGCUGCAGCUGGCCCAAUAUUCUGCUACCAGCUUAGAGAAUGAAGAGUUGGUAUCCAUUAGUUUCGAAGGCUCAUCAUAUUCCACCAUUUUCCCUAACAAACCAUAGAAAAAAUAUUAGACAACUAACUGAGUAAGCAGUGUAUGAAAAAAGGAGGAAAACAGAAUGAAAGAAGAUACCAUAGGAGAGGACCAUAACCAUAUCACUGUCUAUUACAGUUGGAACCCUAUGAGCAACUGUAAUAACUGUGCAUGCNUCAAACUCUUGUCUGAUAAUUCUUUGUAGAAUUGCAUCUGUGGCAGAGUCAAUGGAAGCAGUGGCUUCAUCCAGAACAAGAAUUNUGUUCCUCUUAAGCAGUACUCUUCCAAGACAAAACAGUUGUCGUUGUCCCAAGCUCCAAUUUCCACCUUCAUCACUCACUGUAUAACCAUUCUCAAUCAGANUUCAANGCCUAAUUUAUGNAUCAAANACUUUNNNUUNNAAAAANAACUUGCAAGUUCAAAUAUUAUGUGUAUCCCUCAUGAUUUUAAACCUGAAAAGAGUAAAGCAGCAAUAGUAUGUUAAGUUUACUCACCCUGAGAGUCCAAGAGAUUUGGAAGAUGGCUGAUAGUUUCCUUAAGCUGACAUUUCUCUAAAGCCUAUAUACAAAUUAAACAUAAUCAAACAUNUGNUUAGUAUAAGNUCAAGCAAAANNUAAAGGUGUUAAANAAACAAUUUUUAACAGCAGAACUANUCCNUUUACCUUCCAUAUCUCAUCAUCUGAAUACAAGCCNAAAGGGUCCAAGUUGGUUCUGAUGCUGCCCUUGAAGAGAGUUGGNUCCUGAGGGAUGAUGCUUAGUUUCAUUCUCAAAUCCUUCAACCCCAUUGAGCAUAUGUUAAUCCCAUCUAUGAGAAUCUCACCGCUUGCUGGCUCAACUAAGCGAAACAAAGCACUUAUGAGUGUACUCUUUCCACUUCCAGUUCUUCCUACAACUCCCACUCUACUCCCUUCUCUAAAUGUGCAAGUGAUACCCUUAAGCACUAAUGGAGCAUUAGGACGGUAUCUAAUCUGAGACCAGCGAAGUAAAAAAGCCAUCACAUAGAAGAAGGUUUAUCCAUUUGACAGUAUUAAAGUAAAGAAAAAAAAAUUGAAAGACAAGGGUGAAACUUUACUUCUAAGGCUCGAAGGUCAAUCCUGCCUUUGGAAGGCCAUGAAGAUGGAGGUUGGUGGUCCUUCACAAUAGCAGGAGGCUCUGACGGUAGGUGAACGAAUUGCUUGAUUCUUUCAACAGAGAUAAGAUAGUUCAAUAAUUUGCAGUACCAUUGAGUCCAAAAUAUAUGUGCAAAUGUCAAGGCUAAUGCGUAAGAGAGAGAUAGUCCCACAAGACCUGCAUAAUCCAAGAGAAUUUUGAACAGUUAAAAGCUGGUUAAUAACAUGCAUAAAGCUUUAUCUUGCUAAUUAACCUCUGAAAUAAUAAUACCUGAGGACACGUAUCCCUGAGGAAUUAGAAGAAGUAGCAAAGCUGAAGUGAUGACUAUCAAAUUUAGAAGUGAUUCAAUCCUCAAAAGUAACCAUUCCGUGGCCACAUUAGAAUGGAAAAACAGUGUUGCGUCUGUGUCCACAAGCUUUAAGUAGUUUUUAAAAAAUCUUUCUACCAUAUUGAAUGCUCUCACAGUAACAACACCAAGUGAUGUCUCAGCUGCAAAAUUCAUCACAGGAGCUUUUGUGGUUCCAUUGAUCCUCAUUAAUUCCCUUGACGAGGCUUGAUAAUAUUCCUUUC